UACAGAGGGUGCGAGCGUUGUUCGGAAUUACUGGGCGUAAAGCGCGCGCAGGCGGCCCUUUAAGUCUACCCGUGAAAUGCCGGAGCUCAACUCCGUGCACGCCGGGGGAUACUGGGGGGCUGGAGACAUGUAGAGGCAAGCGGAAUUCCGGGUGUAGCGGUGGAAUGCGUAGAGAUCCGGAAGAACACCUGAGGCGAAGGCGACCAUCUGGACGACAACUGACGCUGAGGCGCGAAAGCGUGGGGAGCAAACAGG
RNAcentral lists this ribosomal RNA (255 nucleotides) under uncultured bacterium. RNAcentral's name for it is "partial 16S ribosomal RNA". It matches the Rfam family "Bacterial small subunit ribosomal RNA", at positions 524 to 776 of the family's 1533-position model. The record is from RNAcentral.